GUUGAAGCCCAAUGGAGUUGAGCAACUUGCUGAAGGUCACACAGCUCAUUGCCUGCUCCUGCAGAGGGCUGCUGCCAUGUCAUGAGCACUCUCAAGCAGCUCUAGCGAGGGGUCAUGUCAUGAGGAACUGAGACCUUCUGCCAAUAGCUGUGUGAAUGAGCCAUCAUGGAGGCAGGUCCUCCAGCCCCAGUCAAGCCUUCAGAUGAUGGCAGCCCCAGCUGAUGAUUUGACUGCAAACUCUCAUGCAACCAGGAAUAAGAACCACUCAGCAGAACCACUCCCAAUUUCCUGACCCACAGAAACUGUGAGAUAAAUAAAUAU
This 321-nucleotide long non-coding RNA is filed under the name Homo sapiens (human). Its description in RNAcentral is "non-protein coding lnc-MINOS1-1:1". Lineage: Eukaryota; Metazoa; Chordata; Mammalia; Primates; Hominidae. The record is from RNAcentral.